GCACUGCUGACGAGUCCCAAAAUAGGACGAAACAGCUGUCCAGUGC
RNAcentral lists this non-coding RNA (46 nucleotides) under Echinostoma caproni. The record is from RNAcentral. Lineage: Eukaryota; Metazoa; Platyhelminthes; Trematoda; Plagiorchiida; Echinostomatidae.